UACAGAGACCUCAAGCGUUGUCCGGAUUUACUGGGUUUAAAGGGUGCGUAGGUGGAUUUGUAAGUCAGUGGUGAAAUCUCCGGGCUUAACCCGGAAACUGCCAUUGAUACUAUAAGUCUUGAAUUAUCUGGAGGUAAGCGGAAUAUGUCAUGUAGCGGUGAAAUGCUUAGAUAUGACAUAGAACACCAAUUGCGAAGGCAGCUUACUACGGAUAUAUUGACACUGAGGCACGAAAGCGUGGGGAUCAAACAGG
This 253-nucleotide ribosomal RNA is filed under the name uncultured bacterium. RNAcentral describes it as "partial 16S ribosomal RNA". It matches the Rfam family "Bacterial small subunit ribosomal RNA", at positions 524 to 776 of the family's 1533-position model. The record is from RNAcentral.